This 253-nucleotide ribosomal RNA is filed under the name uncultured bacterium. RNAcentral's name for it is "partial 16S ribosomal RNA". It matches the Rfam family "Bacterial small subunit ribosomal RNA", at positions 524 to 776 of the family's 1533-position model. The record is from RNAcentral.
UACGUAGGUGGCAAGCGUUGCCCGGAUUUACUGGGUGUAAAGGGCGUGCAGCCGGGCUGACAAGUCAGAUGUGAAAUCCCGCGGCUCAACCGCGGAACUGCAUUUGAAACUGUCAGUCUUGAGUACCGGAGAGGUCAUCGGAAUUCCUUGUGUAGCGGUGAAAUGCGUAGAUAUAAGGAAGAACACCAGUGGCGAAGGCGGAUGACUGGACGGCAACUGACGGUGAGGCGCGAAAGCGUGGGGAGCAAACAGG